UUCCUUUUAUCGUCAACCCGGAGCCCCACGGCAGCUAAUGCAAGAGGCCAAAAAUGUUUUGGAGGAAGAAAAACAAAGGCAGGAAGUGGCGGCGGACUGACGGUGCGUGUGUGUCUGCGGAGAAGGGAGGGAGCCGUUUCAAUCUCUUGUUUUUCCAAACUUCUCUUCUUGUUGUUUUUCCAAACUUCAAGGUCUAGGCAG
This is a non-coding RNA of Myotis lucifugus (little brown bat), 201 nucleotides long. Lineage: Eukaryota; Metazoa; Chordata; Mammalia; Chiroptera; Vespertilionidae. The record is from Rfam.